UACUGGAUGCAAAGCCACUUUUGAAGGAGGCCCUUCAAGCCGAAGUUGGGCUUCCAGUUGACAAGGACAUCCCAUUGAUAGGAUUCAUCGGUAGGCUAGAGGAGCAGAAAGGUUCGGAUAUUCUAGUGGAAGCCAUUCCAGAACUAGCUGGAGAGAAUUUGCAAAUAAUAGUCCUUGUAAGUAAGCCUUGGCUUUACUUUCUUCAGUACAUACAUAAUGCUGGUUGAUUUUAUUGUUUUGGUAUGUUCUUUGUGUUAGGGAACUGGCAAAAAGGACCUGGAGAAGCAGAUCGAACAGCUAGAGACCAAAUAUCCGGGAACCGCUGUAGGUGUGGUGAAAUUCAAUGUUCCAUUAGCCCACAUGAUUAUUGGUGGUGCUGAUUUC
Molecule: long non-coding RNA, 384 nt
Filed under: Fragaria vesca (wild strawberry)
Lineage: Eukaryota; Viridiplantae; Streptophyta; Magnoliopsida; Rosales; Rosaceae
Description: long non-coding RNA (FVES_LNC005380)
Source: RNAcentral